Long non-coding RNA from Maniola jurtina (meadow brown), 196 nucleotides. RefSeq lists it as uncharacterized. The transcript has 4 exons. Lineage: Eukaryota; Metazoa; Arthropoda; Insecta; Lepidoptera; Nymphalidae. The record is from RefSeq and is a predicted model, not a curated record.
AUUACUUGUUUUGCAGUAUUCUAUAGCUAUGACAGCAUAGUGGUUAGGACUUCCGCCUCAUAAUCGGAGAUCGGGGGUUCGAUCCGGGCAUGCACCUCUAACUUUUCGGAGUUACGUGCGUUUUAAGCAACUAAAUAUUACUUGCUUUAACGGUGAAGGAAAACAUCGUGAGGAAACCUGCAUGCCUGAGAGUUCU